This is a long non-coding RNA of Daphnia pulex (common water flea), 1500 nucleotides long. RefSeq lists it as uncharacterized. NCBI's taxonomy places the organism in Eukaryota, Metazoa, Arthropoda, Branchiopoda, Diplostraca, Daphniidae. The record is from RefSeq and is a predicted model, not a curated record. The transcript has 2 exons.
CAUGGAGCUAGUAAAUAAAAAAGAAAGAAAAAUCAAUUAAAUACAAAUCAAAAGAUUCUAAACACCAACUAGAAUGAGAUCCCGCAAUUUGAACGUGCAACAAAGUGAUGAUGAAGCUUCCGCAUAAACCAUGACUCAAAACAUAAUCGCAACUUUCAAAGUGAUGCGAAAAGAAUAAUAGGCUACGUUGCGUGCAAUUUUGCAAGGGGCCGAAGUCCCGUUCAGACCUGCGAGGGGGCCGGAAAAGCCAAAUGAGCUUUAUUUUUUCAAGGUGGAAGAGGUUCAGCUUCAAGCGAUUAUUGUUAAAGAAAACAGAGCCUUAUUUUAAUGAUUGUUUACGAUGUCUGACGUCUGUUCGCAAAAAUUGGCGAACGCCAAAGGCAAGGGCAAGUACACUUUCGAUGCCGCAACCAAACAAGACACAAAGAGCUAGUUCUGCUGGUCAUGUAACGGUAAAAUGCCUCCGCAUUCAGAUGAUGAGCAGGCAUCUAUAAAGACUGUGUUCCCAGGACUUUCGUUAGUUGAAACGCAGAGUUCUUUUCGAUAGCACAAGACGAAAGAGACUCAACAUGAAAGUUUUGGUAGUUUUGGCCUUUGUUCUGACAUUGGUCUGUGUCGCCUGUACUCAGUUACCGGAUGGAUGGAACUACAAUCUGUUUUUCAUUUCUUUCUUUUCUCUUGUUCGUUCCCUUCCAUUGGGGCUCGAGGAACACACACGGAAACUUGCAACGUAUCCAGACAAACUUAAAGUUAAAUGCAAAAGAAAGGAAACGGAAAAUCUCCAGCUUCUCACCUCAUCAGAAUCGACCGGUGUGCUAGUUGAUGACGUGAUUGUCCCAUGAACGUGACAAAUGAGAAAUUUUCAUUGGUACAGCUUAGUGACUGUAGAUUCAUCAGUGCAUCUUUUGACUGUGAUUUCAACCCGAACUGCAUGGGGUUCCGUUUAGUACGCCAGAUCCAUUCUGAAAACCGAGUAACGGAAAAACAAACAAAAAUUAGUCUCAAGUUUCGUUUGGAUAGAAAUAUUGGCGACUAAAGUGGCUUGGGAAUACUCUGACCAUAAUUGACGGAACAAUUUCAGGGGGGGGGAAGAAAAAGAUAUCCUAACCCAUCUAAGUCUGAAAAAUGAUAAUUAUUUUGUUCCUAAAUCUUUUCAGAAAUUCUUAACUGCAUCGGGUCAUCUGAACUGUUUUCCCCGGACGUCAUAAAGAAUCUCAUUUUCAAACAAUUAAAUAAUACAAACAAUAUCAAUACUACGUUACAAUUUUUCAGAUUACACUUCUUCCUGUUCAUCUAACCUUUUGUGGAUUCGUUACUUCUAGUUAGUUCUCACCAACUUAUCCUGAUUAACAGUUUUCCUUCAGUUUUGUUGCCCUAAACAUCAGUCACCAGCUAAUUGGUUGUAAAAAGUGUUUGAGUUCUAUGAAAGCAAUGGAAGUAAAAACUCAAUUGUGUCCUGACAGUUGAAUUAAUUAAAAAUAAAUUACCUUUUGGCUCUAA